ACUCGAGUGGCGAACGGGUGAGUAACACGUGGGUGAUCUGCCCUGCACUUCGGGAUAAGCCUGGGAAACUGGGUCUAAUACCGGAUAGGACCACAUUUUGGAUGGUGUGGUGGAAAGUUUUCGGUGUGGGAUGAGCUCGCGGCCUAUCAGCUUGUUGGUGGGGUAAUGGCCUGCCAAGGCGUCGACGGGUAGCCGGCCUGAGAGGGUGUACGGCCACAUUGGGACUGAGAUACGGCCCAG
RNAcentral lists this ribosomal RNA (240 nucleotides) under uncultured Actinomycetales bacterium. RNAcentral's name for it is "partial 16S ribosomal RNA". It matches the Rfam family "Bacterial small subunit ribosomal RNA", at positions 89 to 334 of the family's 1533-position model. The record is from RNAcentral. Lineage: Bacteria; Bacillati; Actinomycetota; Actinomycetes; Actinomycetales.